GUAUGGUUAAGUGACUAAGCGUACAGGGCGGAUGCCUUGGCAAUCAGAGGCGAUGAAGGACGUGCUAAUCUGCGAAAAGCUUGGAUGAGUCGAUAAGAGGCGUUUAAUCCAAGAUGUCCGAAUGGGGAAACCCAGU
Molecule: ribosomal RNA, 136 nt
Filed under: Pasteurella multocida 1500C
Lineage: Bacteria; Pseudomonadati; Pseudomonadota; Gammaproteobacteria; Pasteurellales; Pasteurellaceae
Description: partial 23S ribosomal RNA
Rfam family: Bacterial large subunit ribosomal RNA
Source: RNAcentral